This 3056-nucleotide unclassified non-coding RNA is filed under the name Hevea brasiliensis (rubber tree). Lineage: Eukaryota; Viridiplantae; Streptophyta; Magnoliopsida; Malpighiales; Euphorbiaceae. The record is from RNAcentral.
GAAAGCAUAAAAUAAUCUAUACAUCUAAGAAUUUUCUAAAGAAAUAAAGGGAAAGUUCCCUUAUAUCUGAUCUCAUAAUAUGGACUACAUAUACAAACUAAGAACACAAAUUAAAUAGAAUGUCUCAUGUCUAAUUAAAUAAGAAUUCUAAGCUAAAUAAAAGAAACGCUUGUGCGCGCGCGUGUGUGCACGAGCGCGCACAUAAUCAAGCACCAAUGUGACAAUCAAAUAGCAAAAAAUAAGUGGUAUCUUUCCUCGACAAACUUCGAGGGAAUGAGCAUAGCAUUUUUCAUUUGAUCUCAAACUUUAACAAGAUAAUUCUAUGUACGGAUGAGACCAAGCACAGACUUCCACAUCAGCAUCACUGCCUUGAUAUGGUCUUGUUACAAAGAUAUGCCAAUACCAAGACUAAAUCGUUUUCCAAGUAUCAAAAACGGUAUCUAUGCAUAAGCCUUUCAUCCCCCAAGAACUUUUGAGAAUCAUUGUUCAAAACAGUGAUAGCUAUGAUGUCCAUAAUCAAGUUUUCCAAGGAACUGAAAAAUAUUUGACAAACUAUGCUCCACUCCGUGCUCGAGGGUCUCGGCCAAGAGGUAUCAUGAGAUCCUUCAUAACCUCAUACUCUUCUGCAUUUAUCUGGGCACCAUCAAGGAGCUGGUGAAGCAUCAUCCUCCUAUUAGUCAUGUAUGAAGUGAGUGCUGGAAUCCUACAUACAGAUAGAGCCUCAACCAAGAGAAAUGCUAUGACUUGCCAUUGUUUCAUUCUGAAUGCAGGAAUUGCAUCAUAAAAGGACAUUGUAUCCAACAAGCGCCCCACUCCUUGCUCCAGUGUAGAUAUUGGUAUCGGCAACCUAAGAUCAGCAACAAGUCCAGGUAAAGCCCGAGCAAGACAACCCUCAACAGUAAGCUUGAUUUCAGAAGAACGGCCAUCUCUCAAGACAACCUUUCGAGGGUACUCCCUUCCAUUAACAGAUAAAUAAUCUUCAUGGGAACUUUCAUCGUCUCUCCCAUAUACAUAAGCCAAAGAAGAUGAAGUUACCCAUGCAAAGAGUGCCAUCCACAUUGUCGCAAAAGGGGAUAACGACAAACUGAAUCCUUCUGGUGGAGCAUCAUACCAUGAAUCCUCAGGGUCAAACAAAUCUGAAUGUGGAAUCCCUGGCCUUGUUGGCCACUUAAGAGAAGCAGAUUCUUGUUCAAGCAUGCCAACACUCUCUAUAUCAUGUGGAUGUGGUAAUAUGAUGACUCCAGCUUCAGACACUCCACAACCUUCCCCCCUCCCAAAGCAGAAAUUUCCUCUAAAAUACAUUUGUAAAUCUCCAGUUUAAGAAAUAUCCGCCCCAUGCAGAAAUAUCCUCCAAAAUACAUUUGAAACUCUCCAGUUUAGGAUAUAUGCUCCUUAAUUUACCAAAUUAUGCUAACAAUACAAACAUAGAUGAUUGGUUGAACCAAAUUUUUUAAUAAAAUUGAACCUCAGAAGCUAAAACAUAUUCAAAUUAAUGUUCAAAGAUUGAAGUGUGGCUACAUUUUAAAAUUGAACGAUUAAAAUUUUACAACUUUAACCUCAUGGAAAAAUGUGUUAUACCAUUAAUAAACUUGUGGGAUUAGAGUGCAUAUUUUCAAAAAAGCAUGAUGCAAGUAAAUGUUAUGCAAAACCUCAUUAUGGGAUUUGUAAUUAACCAAAAUUAUCAUAAAAACACCCUACUGGCAUCAGUAACAUCAGCAUCUCCGGACGCAAUAGCUUCUGCUGCCUGGCUUAUUGCUAUUGCACACGCUUCAGCUGAUUCAAAUCGUAACACGUUACCAUCAUGUCCCCCGUCCAUACUGUCUGGAAUACCAAGAACUGCCUUUGUAUCUCCCAUUUCCCUGAACUCACAAAGAUCUCUACUUCCAGCAUCAACUUUCUCAUCAGCCCAAGUAACAGUGCAAUUAGAUUUCUUUGCACCAAAAGAUUUAAGAGAGGGUUUGAGCAUGGAUUCACUCAAAUUAGCUGAUUUCUUAGUUUUAGAUUUUCCUUCAACUUCAGCAUUACUUGCAUUUGAACUGAUCUGAGAAGAAUUUGAAGUAGACAGGCCUUGACCAUUAAGCUCAUCUUUUGUGACCUUUUUUCUCCCCACCCCUUUUGAAUUUCUUGAUGUCUUAUUGAAGUCAUGCUUUCCUGGUGAAGAUGAUUGAAACUUUAAGCCUUUAUGAAAUUCUUUCCCUCUUUGCUCUUGUAAUUUCGUGGUAAAGGCGGUGCUUGUUGAACCAGAGGGAGCUUUUGAAAUGCUGUACUCAUCUUCAGUAAUUAUAGUGCUCAUAAAGUUCAUGUCAUCAAAGAAACAAUCUUGUUUAUUAACUGGUUUGGUACACUUGGCUUUUGAUCCUUCUUUGGGAUUAUUUUUUGAUGGUGAAUGUAUGGAAUCGUGAUCUCUCUGUGGAACAUAGCCUUCAAUUGAAUUUGAUGGACCAAUCCACUCUUCCAAAGGCACCUCCCCCACAUUGGUUUCCAUCUUCUCCUGAAUCUUCAAUUUAGACAGCCCUAAGUCCCCAUUUUCCCCCAAAUCUUCAGAAUCUAAACCCAAACUAUCAAACAUCCUUAGAAUCUCAUUAAGUUUCAUUGGAUUUAGAACAGAACAUCUCUCCUUUUGCAAGCUCCCUGCAAAAGCUCGACUAUUAACAACACAACUGGAAGAGCAAUACAUAUAUGUCUCAUGUUGAUCAUAAACCUUAUGCUCCUUCAAGGAAAUGCGAUAUCGACCCUUGUGAGAAUGAUCUAAUGGCAGAAAAUUUUUGCAAAGCGGAUAACCACAUAGAUUUGCAAUUGACCGCUCAAUAACAACAUCUUCAUAGUCACUACGAGACAUCAAAGAUCCAGCUGCAAAUAGUUGGUCUUCAUUUUUUAUGCCUUCAAGAAGGGAAAGUUGCAACCGAUAAACAGUGUCUUUCACGGUAAUUGAUUGAUCCUUUUCCAUUGGAGAAUAUAUUAUGAAGGAGAGAUCGUAUUGAGAAAUUAACCUUGAGUGAACUGAAAUUGUAAAGAACUAAACCGGUAUUGGGGAGAGGUUUGAGAGAAGCAAGUUG